This 73-nucleotide transfer RNA is filed under the name Camelus bactrianus (Bactrian camel). It matches the Rfam family "tRNA". From Rfam's summary of the family: Transfer RNA (tRNA) molecules are approximately 80 nucleotides in length. Their secondary structure includes four short double-helical elements and three loops (D, anti-codon, and T loops). RNAcentral also lists the same sequence under 2 other names. Lineage: Eukaryota; Metazoa; Chordata; Mammalia; Artiodactyla; Camelidae. The record is from Rfam by way of RNAcentral.
GAGGGUAUAGCUCAAGUGGUAGAGUGCGUGCUUCCUAUGCACGGGGUCCUGGGUUCAAUCCUCAGCACCUCCU